UACAGAGACUGCAAGCGUUAUUCGGAUUCACUGGGCGUAAAGGGUGCGCAGGCGGCCAAGUGUGUCAGGUGUGAAAUCCCGAGGCUUAACCUCGGAACUGCGCCUGAAACUACUUGGCUAGAGUACUGGAGAGGGUAACGGAAUUCACGGUGUAGCAGUGAAAUGCGUAGAUAUCAAGAGGAACACCUGCGGCGAAGGCGGGUUGCUGGGCCGACACUGACGCUGAUGCGCGAAAGCUAAGGGAGCGAACGGG
Molecule: ribosomal RNA, 253 nt
Filed under: uncultured bacterium
Lineage: Bacteria
Description: partial 16S ribosomal RNA
Rfam family: Bacterial small subunit ribosomal RNA
Source: RNAcentral